Molecule: long non-coding RNA, 1269 nt
Filed under: Zea mays
Lineage: Eukaryota; Viridiplantae; Streptophyta; Magnoliopsida; Poales; Poaceae
Description: drought responsive lncRNA
Source: RNAcentral
UGUAUUUUAUAUAUAUGUUUGGUGUGAUGUUAAUUUUUUAUUUGCACUAUGUUUGUUUGUAUUGUGGCGAGUAGAAGAGCAGUGGCAGAGGAGUCAAUUGUUCAGCAGGUAGAAGUUGUUGAGCAGGAGCUCAUUGAAGACAAGUUGUGCCUUGACCACUUUUUACCCAAUAAUGUUCUUUAUUAUCACUUAUCAAUGCAUAGGCUUAAUUUUGAUGGGACCCAAUAUGUCACCUUAGACUGGUUAUCCUUUUACCUUGUUUACCCCUGAAUCAUUUGGGUAGUUUUGGUAUUACUCUAUAUGGUUUUGGGUUUAAUACUACAAUAUGUUCAUGUUCCAAUUAUUCUGUUAUUUUAUUUAUUAUCCAUGUCAAUAUCAUUAUUUUUAAUUGGAACAUGGAGCUUAACUUGAGAAACACGUGCCACCACGAGGGUGGAAUGGGACGCCAUUGGCUGGCUAACUAGGAAAGCUAGUGGAGGACUACCUUACCCGAUAAGGGCAAGGGCAAUAGAGGAGUAGGCGUGUAGGGAGGUUGCCGAGUUGAUUUUGCUGUGAUGGCGGUCAGACGGGGAUUCCUGCAUUCCUCUUCCUAGAAACUGUAGCGGGUUUUCUGAAGCAAUUGGAACUAGGUAAAGGCCUCCUAGUGUUACCCUGCCUCGCUUCCUUGGUAGAGGUGUAUGAGAGUCGCGAUCCCUUGGCAGAUGGGUAACAUGACUUGUGGAUACAGGGUACAACCUCUCAGAGUGUAAAACUGAUAUACUAGCCGUGCUCGCUGUCAUGAGCAGCUUAGGACUCUCGCAUGAUUAAUAUAUGGAACUAAAUUCAAUUUGUCAUUUGCAUUGCAUGGGAUUAUUUAUUAAUUUUGUUCUAUUCUUAUUAUGGUUUGGUAUUUACUUACAUCUAUUAAUUGCUAAUAAAAUUCGACCAACUUAUUAAAGGCAAUGUUCAGCUUUAACCCUUAUUGUUGAUCACCCUUACACAUCACAUGAACUCUCACCUUUGGUGAGUUCAUGCACAUUAUUCCCCACGACUUGUUGAGAUAUGAUCUUUUGUGAGCUCACUCUUGCGAUAUAUAAACCCCCCCACAGGUGAAGAGCAGGUGGUCGAAGAGGAGCCGCACAACGAGGAGUUUGACUUGAUCUAGGUGGCGUCUCCCAGUCAGCUUUAUAGCGCCAGGGAAAUAAUAUUUAGUUCGUUUUAUAUUUAUCAUUUAUUUUGUAAGACUUUCGCUAUGUAAUAAGUACAUUUAUGAUAUUUAUGAUAUUUAUC